AUCUGGUAGGUUGGACGUGAAGUCAUUGAUUUGAACGAAAGUGACCCCAAAGUGAAAAUGAUCGUGAGAGCUGUGCUGGCUGUGACUGUCAUUUCCUGCCUCCCUGUCCUGAGGGGAUCCACCGUGAUCCCGGCAGAUGCUGGCAGAGAUGUGCUCCUGCCCUGCAGUGUACAACACCAAGGCGGCUUCAAUCUUUCGGAUGUCACUAUCAACUGGGAGCGUCCUGACACCAUCGUGUGCAGCUUCUACCAUGGCAGCAGGCAGCUAGAGCAUCAGGACAAGAGGUUUAGGGGCAGGACCCAGCUCUUCCCAAAUGAAUUUUCAAAGGGCAACGCCUCCCUCCUACUGCAGAGAGUCAACCUAGCUGACACCGGGAAUUACUCAUGCAAUGCUGUUCUCUGGGCCAACACCCAGCUCACUGUUCACACAAUGUUCCUCCAGGUGACAGGGAACGGGCUUGCUGUCACACCGCUGGGAGCUGUGCACUGUCUCCCUGCCAUCCUGCUGCUGCUGCUGUGGUACAUGUAAUGAGUCUCCCUGCAUAGCCCAGAUGCAAACACUGAGUCGAGGAGCCCUGAGCACUGAGAAACCCAAAGUACCUACGGUUUCAGCUUCUAAUGAAUCUUCACUGCACAUGAUCUACCAGUUGCUGUGACUGCCCUGGAUUAAUGCUUGAAUGAUGCAAUGUUUGCUUAGAGGAGCUGCUGCAGGAAUCCCUCUUACGAUUUCACAAUUUGAGCGUGUAUGUAUGUGAAUAUGUGUAUAUAUAUGUAUGUGUGUAUAUAUGUGUAUAUGUGUGUGUGUUCAAAUUUAAGAAUUGGCAUAUAUAUUCAUCUUAUAAAAAGUCUAUGUAUAAAGAUAAAUAUAUAUCCCAAUUACUACAUUAGAACACAUGUGUGUAUAAGUUCAAAUUAAGAAUCUUGUUGAGAUCUUAGUGCUCUCAAAGUUCCUUUCAGCCCUUAUGGAUCUAUAUUAGAUUUGUUUUUAUUUAUAUAGUAGAAUAGGUAUAUCUACAUUUUAGAUAUUGCAUAGAUAGAUAGAUAGAUAUCUAUAUAUCUAUCUAUAGAUAUAGAUAUAUGUAUAUCAGGCUUGUUUUGUAAAGAGAAUAGAUAGAUAUUAAUAUAUUUAAAUGCAAUUGGAUUUUAAAGAAAAUUAUAUGCACUCUAACUUAUCAAUUGAGUAUUUAAAUUGAUCACACCUAUUUAGCUAUAAAAUAGAUAACACUUUCAUAGAUUUCACAGACAUUAGGGCUGGAAGGGACCUCGGAAGAUCAUUGAGUCCAGCCCCCUGCCCAAAGAGUAGGAAGUCGGCUGGGGUCAUAGGAUCCCAGCAAGAUAAGCAUCCAGUUUGCUCUUGAAGGUGUUCAAUGUAGGCGCUUGAACCACCUCCAGUGGCAGGCUGUUCCAGACCUUUGGGCUCGGACAGUAAAGAAAUUCUUCCUUAUGUCCAGCCUGAAACGAUCUUGUAGUAGUUUAUGACCGUUCGACCUAGUCGUCAUCACUUGGGGUGCUGUGGUGAACAAACGUUUCCCCAGAUACUGGUGGUCACCCCGAUAAUCUUAUAGGUGGCUAUCAGAUCACCCCUAAGCCUGCGCUUUUCCAGGCUAAAGAGCCCCAUGGCUCUCAGCCUGUCAUCGUAGGGUUUGCUUCCCUGACCUCUGAUCAUGCGCGUGGCUCUUCUCUGGACUCUCUCAAGCCUCCACAUCCUUUUUGAAUUGUGGAGCCCAAAACUGGACGCAGUACUCCAGCUCUGGCCUCACCAAGGCCGAGUUCAAGGGGAGAAUGACGUCCUGGGAUUUGCUUGAGAAGCAUCUAUGGAUGCAAGCCAGCGUUUUGGUCACUUUACUAGCUGUAGCAUCGCAUUGCAGGCUCAUGUUCAUCUUGUGGUCAAUGAUGACCCCCAAAUCUCUUUCUUCUGUAGUGCUAGCCAGCGUAGCACUGCUGAGCCUAUAAGGAUGCUGCAGGUUUUUCUUCCCAAGGUGGAGAACCUUGCAUUUAUCGGCAUUGAACACCAUCAGAUUCUCAUCCGCCCACUUGCUGAGCCUGUCCAGGUCAGCCUGGAUCAUCCGCCUGUCUUCUGGUGUGGAUGCUUUGCCCCGAAGUUUGGUGUCAUCAGCGAACUUGGCCAGUCCGCUUCUGACUCCAGAGUCCACAUCACUAAUGAAGAUGUUGAACAGUAUGGGUCCAAGGACAGAGCCUUGGGGGACCCCACUGGUCACAGAACACCACGAUGAGUGACUUCCAUCAAUUACUACCCUCUGGGUCCAACCACGGAGCCAAUUUUCCAGCCAGUGGAUCGUGGUGGACCCAAGGCGACCAUUGGCCAGUUUCACCAAGAGGUGAUCAUGGGAUACCAGAUUGAAGGCUUUUUUGAAGUCAAGAUAUAUGACAUCAAUCUCUUCUCCCUUGUCCAGGUGAUAGGUCACCUGGUCGUAGAAGGAAAUGAGAUUGUCGCGGAUAGGUCUUGCUUGACCAAACCCAUGCUGGCUAUCCCUUAAGAUGUUGGCGUCGGCCAGUCCAUUAAGGAUGGCCUCUUUAAUAAACUUUUCUAAGAUCUUCCCUGGGAUAGAAGUCAGGCUGAUGGGCCUAUAGUUAGCCGGAUCCACUUUCCUCCCUUUCUUGAAGAUAGGCACCACAUUGGCCUUCUUCCAGUCUUCGGGCACUACACCAGAGCACCAGGAGUUUUCAAAGAUCCGUGCUAGAGGCUGGGCUAUGAUGCUCGCCAGCUCCUUGAGUACCCUGGGGUGAAGAUUGUCAGGGCCGGCUGACUUGAAGGUAUCUAGCUUCUCAAGAUGUUCCUUCAUGAAGUCAGCAUCAAUGGAGGGCAGGGGAUCUCCCUCACCCGGACCUCCCUGUCCCGUAGCGGGCAUGGGCAUCCCAUGGGACUGAUGAAAGACCGACUCAAAGCACCCAUUUAGUAGGUUGGCUUUUUCCUGGGCGUCAGUUGUCAGUUGCCCCAUCUGGUUCAGCAGGGGUCCAAUGUUGCCCCUGCUUUUCCUCUGGCUCCCCACAUAUCUGAAAAAGGACUUUUUAUUGUCCUUGUAGCUCGAAGCUAUUUGGAGUUCAGUUGCAGCCUUGGCUUUCCUGGUAUUCUCCCUUCAGGACCGGACCAGUGCAGAAUAAUCCUCCUUGGAGGUGACUCCCAUCCUCCAUCCUUUGUAGGCCUUUCUUUUUAGCCUCAGGAGGUCUGCUAGGUCCCUGGAGAGCCAGGGGGGCUGCUGUGCCCUCUUGCUGCCUUUAAUCCGAGAUGAAAUAGAAUUAGCUUGUGCAUCAAGGAUCGCUCCCUUGAGGAGCAACCACUCUUCCUGGACUCCCCUCUCCCUGGGGUCAUGGUCCCUUAGGGCCUCACUGUCAAGCCUCCUGAGCUUGUCAAAGUCGGCUUUCCUGGAAUCAAGGACUUCCGUGUUGCUGACUGACUUGCCAGCUUUUCGGCGGAUGAUGAAGGUGAUCAGCUUGUGGUCGCUGUCACCCAGCUUCCCAGCGAUCACUAGGUCGCCAACUAGGUCAUCCCCAGUAGCCAGGACCAGGUCAAGUAGCGCUUUGCCUCUCGUUGGCCCAUAGACUUCUUGAGUCAGGUAGAGGUCAUCCACGCACGAGAGGAAGCUUUGCGACCGCUCGGAUUUUGCUGAGCGAUCCUCCCACGAGAUGUCUGGGUAAUUGAAGUCACCCAUGACAACCGUGGUCCUGGAACAUGCGACCUCAGCCAGUUCCCGGGCAAACUCCUGGUCAAGCUCAGGACUUCGGGUGGGAGGUCUGUAAUAGACUCCCACCAUCAUGUCCCCUGUGCCGUGUUCCCCAUAGAUUUUAACGCAGAGGGUCUCCAGCUGUCCACCCUGGUCGACAGUAUUGGCUUGCAGGGACGUGUAGCUUUCCUUAACAUAGAGAGCUACACCCCCGCCCCUCUUAUCUACACGAUCCCUCCUGUACAGGGUAUAGCCAUCUAUACCCGUGGUCUAGUCAUGGGUGGAGUCUCACCAGGUCUCCAUUAUCCCUAUGACAUCAUAAUUAUUUGCGUUGAGCAGGAGGAUGAGUUCCUCCUGCUUAUUCCCCAAGCUCCUGGCAUUUGUGUACAGGCAGGCAAGAGUCCCCUGGGGGGCUCCUUCCUUGCGCACAGAUUUUACCAGGGCUGGGGCAGGGGUGGGCUCCCUUAAGUGCCUUAACCUGCUGGCUUUGCAAGGAUUGCUCAGCGGGCCAGCAGUGGUGGUAGUCCCCCCGUCCCCCAGCAGGCUUAGUUUAAUGAUUUCCAAAUGCUUCUGGCUUUGCUGACCAGGCUCUGGCUGUCUUGAGGGCAUCGGUUGAAGCACUCACACAGGAGCUUAGGUAUUGCAGUGGUAACAGCCAUGCCAGAACCACAAGAGAGAUCUGGAGCAGGCGGGGGAAGGCUGCAGGUGGAGCUUUUUCAUUGGACAGUAGAAGAGACUCAUGCUGGAGACAUGGCCCAUAUCCAGCCCUACCUCUACAUCAGGCCAUAGGAUCUAAUGUGAGGGGGAUGACUCAAGCCCAUGUUUCCUCAUCCCUGUGGUCUUCCUCCAUUGUCAGGGUGAGGGGCUAUGAGGAGGGAUGUGAGAGGGGGGUGGGCUUCUUGGGUGCCAGCUGCUCUGUGGUCACUGGCCCUGUGCAGGCUCUUACCCCAUGGGGCAGCAUGCUCCUAAUUAAAGCACUAGGCUCAGGGCUGCGGGGUGCCUUAAAGCACAGGCAGGUGUUGGUGCUGUGCAGUUGGCAGCCCCAGGACUGACCUUCACAGUUUGACUUUCAAGGUUUUCAGACCUAGGGGAGAGGGCCAUUUUCAUGGCUGCAAGCUCCUGUCUGGCCAAGGGGUUUCACAGCUGCCCUCUGACUGCUGCAGCCCCUUCCCCAUUUCACAAAGUGCGGCUGUGGUUCAGGUUAGGUGACGGAGAUGGGAGGCACUUCAUGUGCUUACCCCAUGCACAGAGAACCUGUUUGUACAAGUAUGAGGGAGAGGUGUGUAACAGCUCUGGCUGUGUGGCACUUGUUCAUAGAUCCGAGUUCCAGACCUGCAGGCACUGCCAGUGCCCAGAGCAGCUCGGGCAGACCAGCAGGCUUUAUCUCAGGGAUUGUUUCAUCUCAGAGCUACCUCAUGUCUAACGGACACCUUCCAAAAACCACUGGGGGACUAGGCUUGGAGGGUCCCAGGGCCAAUAAAAUACUUGAACAGUCCCACUGAGUCUUCCCUACAUCAGUCUGGCCUUGGGAAGCAGGCUUGGUUCCACACAGACAUGUCAGCACUGUGCUGUGAGCUCAGCAAGAAAAAUGGAGGAAGGAAGUUGUUGGGGAACGCUGCAUUGUAUCCUUGUGCCAAUCUUUUCCUGUUCAGAUUUCUAGAUUUCUUUAUAUUUCCUAAUAAAGUAUAUUUCCUUUA
RNA transcript from Alligator mississippiensis (American alligator), 5379 nucleotides. RefSeq lists it as uncharacterized. Lineage: Eukaryota; Metazoa; Chordata; Crocodylia; Alligatoridae. The record is from RefSeq and is a predicted model, not a curated record. The transcript is spliced from 4 exons.